CGUAACAAGGUUUCCGUAGGUGAACCUGCGGAAGGAUCAUUG
Non-coding RNA from Hordeum vulgare subsp. vulgare (domesticated barley), 42 nucleotides. The record is from Rfam. NCBI's taxonomy places the organism in Eukaryota, Viridiplantae, Streptophyta, Magnoliopsida, Poales, Poaceae.